RNAcentral lists this ribosomal RNA (497 nucleotides) under uncultured bacterium. Its description in RNAcentral is "partial 16S ribosomal RNA". It matches the Rfam family "Bacterial small subunit ribosomal RNA", at positions 28 to 507 of the family's 1533-position model. The record is from RNAcentral.
GAUGAACGCUGGCGGCGUGCCUAAUACAUGCAAGUCGAGCGAACGGACGAGAAGCUUGCUUCUUUGAUGUUAGCGGCGGACGGGUGAGUAACACGUGGAUAACCUACCUAUAAGACUGGGAUAACUUCGGGAAACCGGAGCUGAUACCGGAUGAUAUUUUGAACCGCAUGGUUCAAAAGUGAAAGACGGUCUUGCUGUCACUUAUAGAUGGAUCCGCGCUGCAUUAGCUAGUUGGUAAGGUAACGGCUUACCAAGGCAACGAUGCAUAGCCGACCUGAGAGGGUGAUCGGCCACACUGGAACUGAGACACGGUCCAGACUCCUACGGGAGGCAGCAGUAGGGAAUCUUCCGCAAUGGGCGAAAGCCUGACGGAGCAACGCCGCGUGAGUGAUGAAGGUCUUCGGAUCGUAAAACUCUGUUAUUAGGGAAGAACAUAUGUGUAAGUAACUGUGCACAUCUUGACGGUACCUAAUCAGAAAGCCACGGCUAACUACGUG